GGGGCUGUAGCUCAGUGGUAGAGCACUUGCCUAGCAUGCAUGAGCACUGGGUUCCAUUCUCAGCACCA
Molecule: transfer RNA, 68 nt
Filed under: Marmota monax (woodchuck)
Lineage: Eukaryota; Metazoa; Chordata; Mammalia; Rodentia; Sciuridae
Also listed under: 2 other names
Rfam family: tRNA
About the family: Transfer RNA (tRNA) molecules are approximately 80 nucleotides in length. Their secondary structure includes four short double-helical elements and three loops (D, anti-codon, and T loops). Further hydrogen bonds mediate the characteristic L-shaped molecular structure. tRNAs have two regions of fundamental functional importance: the anti-codon, which is responsible for specific mRNA codon recognition, and the 3' end, to which the tRNAs corresponding amino acid is attached (by aminoacyl-tRNA synthetases). tRNAs cope with the degeneracy of the genetic code in two manners: having more than one tRNA (with a specific anti-codon) for a particular amino acid; and 'wobble' base-pairing, i.e. permitting non-standard base-pairing at the 3rd anti-codon position.
Source: Rfam by way of RNAcentral